AGCUGGUAAAAUUAAAAAAAAAAAAAAGUAAAAAAUAUAUAUAGAGUAUGUAGAGGUGCGUCCUUUGUCAAUCAGGCUACGCAAUCGACAAAUUCUCGACUUAAUGAUCUCUGUGAAUGGCGAGGGGCCCCGUGGCCUUCGUGUCCGCUUCUCCAUCUCCAUUUUCUGGUUAAAGAAACCCACACAGCUUCUCUUUUUCUCGUGCUCAUUGCGGGGACUGGUGGUGGCCUUCCUGUUGAAGAAGACGGAAACGAAAGAUUGGUGGUGGUAAGUUGCGAGGGCGAGGUGUUGUCUGUGUAAUUUAGGACAUUAUUAAUUAGAACAGAUGAAGAAUGAGAAUCUCUCUCUCUUUUUGAGUUUGGUGGGAUAAACCCUAGCUAACACAGUAAAAGUGAAGACAAAUCUGGUUUCAGUCUUUUUCUCAAAGUGGGAGGAAAGUCGUUGAUUUCUUGGUAUGGAUUCAUCGACAUUUUUCCCUUUUCAACAACUUCAAUUAACCCAUCACUUUAUUUAUUAUUCAUUUCUUCUGUAAUAACAUGUAGAUCCAUGUAUACCAGUAAAUUUCUGUCUAAGAUGAACACAUCAACAUAUAUAUAGAUAUAUAUAUAAAUUUUUUAUUUUUCUUUGACGAAAACGAC
Long non-coding RNA from Salvia miltiorrhiza (redroot sage), 638 nucleotides. RefSeq lists it as uncharacterized. NCBI's taxonomy places the organism in Eukaryota, Viridiplantae, Streptophyta, Magnoliopsida, Lamiales, Lamiaceae. The record is from RefSeq and is a predicted model, not a curated record. The transcript is spliced from 2 exons.